This 376-nucleotide ribosomal RNA is filed under the name uncultured organism. RNAcentral describes it as "partial 16S ribosomal RNA". It matches the Rfam family "Bacterial small subunit ribosomal RNA", at positions 527 to 896 of the family's 1533-position model. The record is from RNAcentral.
GUAGGGGGCGAGCGUUGUCCGGAUUUAUUGGGCGUAAAGAGCUCGUAGGCGGCUUGGCAAGUCGGCCGUGAAAGUCCGAGGCUCAACCUCGGAACGCCGGUCGAAACUGCCAUGGCUAGGGUCCGGUAGAGGAGAGUGGAAUUCCCGGUGUAGCGGUGAAAUGCGCAGAUAUCGGGAGGAACACCAGUAGCGAAGGCGGCUCUCUGGGCCGGUACCGACGCUGAGGAGCGAAAGCGUGGGGAGCAAACAGGAUUAGAUACCCUGGUAGUCCACGCCGUAAACGUUGGGCACUAGGUGUGGCGAGUUAUACCCAACGCUUGCUGUGCCGUAGCUAACGCAUUAAGUGCCCCGCCUGGGGAGUACGGUCGCAAGGCUA